Molecule: ribosomal RNA, 442 nt
Filed under: uncultured Thiobacillus sp.
Lineage: Bacteria; Pseudomonadati; Pseudomonadota; Betaproteobacteria; Nitrosomonadales; Thiobacillaceae
Description: bacterial SSU rRNA
Rfam family: Bacterial small subunit ribosomal RNA
Source: RNAcentral
UGGAUGAUGUGGAUUAAUUCGAUGCAACGCGAAAACCUUACCUACCUUGACAUGUCCGGAAUCCUGCAGAGAUGCGGGAGUGCCGAAAGGGAAUCGGAACACAGGUGCUGCAUGGCUGUCGUCAGCUCGUGUCGUGAGAUGUUGGGUUAAAGUCCCGCAACAAGCGCAACCCUUAUCAUUAGUUGCUACGCAAGGGCACUCUAAUGAGACUGCCGGUGACAAACCGGAGGAAGUGGGGAUGACGUCAAGUCCUCAUGGCCCUUAUGGGUAGGGCUUCACACGUCAUACAAUGGUCGGUACAGAGGGUUGCCAAGCCGCGAGGUGGAGCCAAUCCCAUAAAGCCAGUCGUAGUCCGGAUCGCAGUCUGCAACUCGACUGCGUGAAGUCGGAAUCGCUAGUAAUCGUGGAUCAGCAUGUCACGGUGAAUACGUUCCCGGGUCUU